GGCUUCGCAUAAACCCUAACCAAAGCAAUCGAGCUAUUGGGUCUUCGAUUCCUCCCAAACCCGGCGUUGAUUCGUCCCUCGACUAGCGGAAAAGGACUCUGGGGAAGAACUCCGCCACUCCAUUGCCGGAGAAAGCAGCAACUGGACAUCUUUCCCUCUUCGUUGGCCUUCGCGGACUCGACGCAAGCGGCGGACAACGCCCUCAGGUCUUCUCAUCAGCCCGUAAGCGCUAGGGUUUCCACCUCCGAGCUCCCUUCUCCCUCUUUCGCUCCCCUCCGUGUCGCCGUGUUGCUUCGCAGGUCGCCGUGUUGGUCUGCUCUGCUCUGUGGUAGUCGGAAGCUCAGAGAGACGAUUCAGCGCACCCGCGAUAAGGAGGCUUAAAGAAAUACAGUGUUACAGAGGUGUAAGGCACAUACAGGGCUCCCGUUCAGAGGCCAAAGGACUAAGAACAAUUGCCGGACAUUGAAGAGCAAGCGUGUGGCUAUUGCCAGGAAGAAGAAGGCUCCUUGUUGAUAUGUAGAUAUAUCGUGUUUGGAUGUACUAAGACGUUUGUGUGUAUGUUUUCUUCCUUCUAUUGUUCAAUAUGUACUGCGUAUGUCCCUUUAUUUUGGGAUGAAUGUUGUAUUGUAUAUGUUAAUUGUCAAGCAAAGCGUAUAAUUUCU
Molecule: non-coding RNA, 662 nt
Organism: Punica granatum (pomegranate)
Lineage: Eukaryota; Viridiplantae; Streptophyta; Magnoliopsida; Myrtales; Lythraceae
Source: RefSeq, a predicted model, not a curated record